CCAGGGGUAACUCUGGACAUUUACACAGGUGCUGCAUGGCUGUCGUCAGCUCGUGUCGUGAGAUGUUGGGUUAAGUCCUAUAACGAGCGCAACCCCCUGCUAUCAGUUGCUACCUUUAAGUAGAGCACUCUGAUGGGACUGCCUGGGAAACCAGGAGGAAGGUGGGGAUGAUGUCAAGUCCGCAUGGUCCUUAUGCCUAGGGCUACACACGUGUUACAAUGGCGAAUACAAAGGGCUGCGAAUCUGUAAAGAGGAGCCAAUCCCAUAAAGUUCGUCUAAGUUCAGAUUGAGGUCUGCAACUCGACCUCAUGAAGUUGAAAUCGCUUGUNUUCGCAUAUCAGAUCGNUNNAANGAACACGUUCUCNGANCUUNUACACNCCGCCCUUNGNCCCACUAGAGCUGUUUGUGCCCGANAUCAUNCNNCAUGNCGNCCGCGGGAAUUCGAUUAGAGUUUGAUCCUGGCUCAGGAAGUAAAAGUCGUAACAAGGUAACC
This 493-nucleotide ribosomal RNA is filed under the name uncultured bacterium. RNAcentral's name for it is "partial 16S ribosomal RNA". It matches the Rfam family "Bacterial small subunit ribosomal RNA", at positions 1014 to 1501 of the family's 1533-position model. The record is from RNAcentral.